AGAUGUGAGGGCAAUCUGGGUGCAACAUUUGUCAUCCUAUUGAUUGCCACAGUUGUUGAGUGGUCUUCUUCCUCCCUCACUAUCCAUGGGCAUCCCUCCUGAAGCUGGACACUUGUUGGAAGUGGAUGACCAUCCCAGAUAGGAGAGUUCCAGUUUUUGGUUAAGGAUAUAUAACAGCUACACUCCUGUUAGAACCUCCAAACAAACUCCAAACAAGUUCAGCAACCAUUCAUAGGACAGUAGCUAUCUUUCAGUCUUCUCACAGAAAAGCUGUUAUACAAUACUAUGCCAACCUU
This is an unclassified non-coding RNA of Notechis scutatus (mainland tiger snake), 296 nucleotides long. Its record names the gene 7SK. It matches the Rfam family "7SK RNA". From Rfam's summary of the family: 7SK was discovered as an abundant small nuclear RNA in the mid-70s but a possible function has only recently been suggested. Two independent studies have found that 7SK RNA binds the CDK9/cyclin T complex (known as elongation factor P-TEFb). The record is from Ensembl. Lineage: Eukaryota; Metazoa; Chordata; Lepidosauria; Squamata; Elapidae.